RNAcentral lists this non-coding RNA (28 nucleotides) under Rattus norvegicus (Norway rat). The record is from RNAcentral. Lineage: Eukaryota; Metazoa; Chordata; Mammalia; Rodentia; Muridae.
UGUGAAUUUCUGUGUGACUGGUACCUAU